CCUACGGGAGGCAGCAGUGGGGAAUAUUGGGCAAUGGAGGAAACUCUGAACCAGCAACGCCGCGUGAAUGAUGAAGGUCUUCGGAUUGGAAAGUUCUUUUCUAAGGGGAGAAGAAAGUGACGGUACCUUAGGAAUAAGCCUCGGCUAACUACGUGCCAGCAGCCGCGGUAAUACGUAGGAGGCGAGCGUUAUCCGGAAUGACUGGGCGUAAAGGGUGCGUAGGUGGUUUGGCAAGUUAGUAGCGUAACUCCAAGGCUCAACCUCGGAACUACUACUAAAACUGUUGGACUUGAGUGCAGGAGCGGCAACCGGAAUGCAUAGUGUAGCGGUGGAAUGCGUAGAUAUUAGGAGGAACACCAGUGGCGAAGGCGGGUUGCCAGACUGUAACUGACGCUGAGGCACGAAAGCGUGGGGAGCAAACAGGAUUAGAUACCCGAGUAGUC
RNAcentral lists this ribosomal RNA (443 nucleotides) under uncultured bacterium. RNAcentral's name for it is "partial 16S ribosomal RNA". It matches the Rfam family "Bacterial small subunit ribosomal RNA", at positions 338 to 795 of the family's 1533-position model. The record is from RNAcentral.